Molecule: ribosomal RNA, 468 nt
Filed under: uncultured bacterium
Lineage: Bacteria
Description: partial 16S ribosomal RNA
Rfam family: Bacterial small subunit ribosomal RNA
Source: RNAcentral
GACGAACGCUGGCGGCGUGCUUAACACAUGCAAGUCGAACGGAAAGGCCCUGCUUGUGUGGGGUGCUGGAGUGGCGAACGGGUGAGUAACACGUGAGUAACCUGCCCUUGACUUUGGUAUAACUUCAGGAAACUGGGGCUAAUACCGGAUAGGAGCUCCUGCUGCAUGGUGGGGGUUGGAAAGUUUCGGCGGUUGGGGAUGGACUCGCGGCUUAUCAGCUUGUUGGUGGGGUAGUGGCUUACCAAGGCUUUGACGGGUAGCCGGCCUGAGAGGGUGACCGACCACAUUGGGACUGAGAUACGGCCCAGACUCCUACGGGAGGCAGCAGUGGGGAAUAUUGCACAAUGGGCGGAAGCCUGAUGCAGCAACGCCGCGUGCGGGAUGACGGCCUUCGGGUUGUAAACCGCUUUCGCCUGUGACGAAGCGUGAGUGACGGUAAUGGGUAAAGAAGCACCGGCUAACUACGUG